AAGGUCCUAGCUUAGUUAAAGCACCUGGGUUGCAUUCAGGAGAUGUAGGUUAAUACCCUACGGGUCUUA
This 69-nucleotide transfer RNA is filed under the name Nyctibius grandis. Its description in RNAcentral is "tRNA-Ala". It matches the Rfam family "tRNA". Rfam says of the family: Transfer RNA (tRNA) molecules are approximately 80 nucleotides in length. Their secondary structure includes four short double-helical elements and three loops (D, anti-codon, and T loops). Lineage: Eukaryota; Metazoa; Chordata; Aves; Nyctibiiformes; Nyctibiidae. The record is from RNAcentral.